This is a small nucleolar RNA of 109 nucleotides. It matches the Rfam family "Plant small nucleolar RNA R71". From Rfam's summary of the family: R71 is a member of the C/D box family of snoRNAs containing the C (UGAUGA) and D (CUGA) box motifs. The record is from Rfam.
AUAUCAUUAUGAGGACAUCUCUUGAGUAACUCCAUGAAUCUUUCUCAUGCAUCAUACAAACUUUCAUCUUCAAGUUGAUGGAAAAUUUUGUGAUCUCAUUUCUCAAUUU